This 387-nucleotide ribosomal RNA is filed under the name uncultured bacterium. RNAcentral describes it as "bacterial SSU rRNA". It matches the Rfam family "Bacterial small subunit ribosomal RNA", at positions 30 to 419 of the family's 1533-position model. The record is from RNAcentral.
AUUGAACGCUGGCGGCAUGCCUUACACAUGCAAGUCGAACGGCAGCGGACCUUCGGGUGCCGGCGAGUGGCGAACGGGUGAGUAAUGCAUCGGAACGUGCCAUUGAGUGGGGGAUAACGUAGCGAAAGUUACGCUAAUACCGCAUAUUCUGUGAGCAGGAAAGCAGGGGACCGCAAGGCCUUGCGCUCUUUGAGCGGCCGAUGUCAGAUUAGCUAGUUGGUGAGGUAAAGGCUUACCAAGGCGACGAUCUGUAGCGGGUCUGAGAGGAUGAUCCGCCACACUGGAACUGAGACACGGUCCAGACUCCUACGGGAGGCAGCAGUGGGGAAUUUUGGACAAUGGGCGCAAGCCUGAUCCAGCCAUGCCGCGUGAGUGAAGAAGGCCUUC